This 21-nucleotide non-coding RNA is filed under the name Caenorhabditis elegans. The record is from RNAcentral. Lineage: Eukaryota; Metazoa; Nematoda; Chromadorea; Rhabditida; Rhabditidae.
UCCACAGGUCAAUUUUGCAUU